GACGAACGCUGGCGGCGUGCCUAACACAUGCAAGUCGAACGGAAGUUAGAGCUUCGGUUUUAACUUUAGUGGCGAACGGGUGAGUAACGCGUGAGGAACCUGCCUUUCAGUGGGGGACAACAGUUGGAAACGACUGCUAAUACCGCAUGAUGCUUUUGGGAGACAUCUCCUGGAAGCCAAAGCUUUAUGUGCUGAAAGAUGGCCUCGCGUCUGAUUAGCUAGUUGGUGAGGUAACGGCUCACCAAGGCGACGAUCAGUAGCCGGUCUGAGAGGGUGAACGGCCACAUUGGGACUGAGACACGGCCCAAACUCCUACGGGAGGCAGCAGUGGGGAAUAUUGCACAAUGGGGGAAACCCUGAUGCAGCGACGCCGCGUGAGUGAUGAAGUAUUUCGGUAUGUAAAACUCUAUCAGCAGGGAAGAUAAUGACGGUACCUGACUAAGAAGCACCGGCUAAAUACGUG
This 463-nucleotide ribosomal RNA is filed under the name uncultured bacterium. RNAcentral's name for it is "bacterial SSU rRNA". It matches the Rfam family "Bacterial small subunit ribosomal RNA", at positions 28 to 507 of the family's 1533-position model. The record is from RNAcentral.